GCGAGGAAGGUGGGGAGUGACGUCAAGUCCUCAUGGCCCUUACAGGCUGGGCUACACACGUGCUACAAUGGCAUCUACAGUGGGCAGCUAUUCCGCAAGGAUGCGCUAAUCUCCAAAAGAUGUCUCAGUUCGGAUUGUCCUCUGCAACUCGAGGGCAUGAAGGCGGAAUCGCUAGUAAUCGCGGAUCAGCAUGCCGCGGUGAAUACGUUCCCAGGCCUU
This 219-nucleotide ribosomal RNA is filed under the name uncultured Porphyrobacter sp. RNAcentral's name for it is "partial 16S ribosomal RNA". It matches the Rfam family "Bacterial small subunit ribosomal RNA", at positions 1164 to 1382 of the family's 1533-position model. The record is from RNAcentral. Lineage: Bacteria; Pseudomonadati; Pseudomonadota; Alphaproteobacteria; Sphingomonadales; Erythrobacteraceae.